CUUUGAAGUGUGGACGCCAGUCUGCAUGGAGCCGGCCUUGAAAUACCACCCUUUAAUGUUUGAUGUUCUAACGUUGACCCGUGAUCCGGGUUGCGGACAGUGUCUGGUGGGUAGUUUGACUGGGGCGGUCUCCUCCUAAAGAGUAACGGAGGAGCACGAAGGUUGGCUAAUCCUGGUCGGACAUCAGGAGGUUAGUGCAAUGGCAUAAGCCAGCUUGACUGCGAGCGUGACGGCGCGAGCAGGUGCGAAAGCAGGUCAUAGUGAUCCGGUGGUUCUGAAUGGAAGGGCCAUCGCUCAACGGAUAAAAGGUACUCCGGGGAUAACAGGCUGAUACCGCCCAAGAGUUCAUAUCGACGGCGGUGUUUGGCACCUCGAUGUCGGCUCAUCACAUCCUGGGGCUGAAGUAGGUCCCAAGGGUAUGGCUGUUCGCCAUUUAAAGUGGUACGCGAGCUGGGUUUAGAACGUCGUGAGACAGUUCGGUCCCUA
Molecule: ribosomal RNA, 486 nt
Filed under: Escherichia coli
Lineage: Bacteria; Pseudomonadati; Pseudomonadota; Gammaproteobacteria; Enterobacterales; Enterobacteriaceae
Description: partial 23S ribosomal RNA
Rfam family: Bacterial large subunit ribosomal RNA
Source: RNAcentral